RNAcentral lists this ribosomal RNA (460 nucleotides) under uncultured bacterium. Its description in RNAcentral is "partial 16S ribosomal RNA". It matches the Rfam family "Bacterial small subunit ribosomal RNA", at positions 338 to 795 of the family's 1533-position model. The record is from RNAcentral.
CCUACGGGUGGCUGCAGUGAGGAAUAUUGGUCAAUGGCCGGAAGGCUGAACCAGCCAUGCCGCGUGAAGGUCAGUGCCCUAUGGGCGUUAAACUUCUUUUGUGCGGGAGCAAUAAUGGUCACGUGUGGCCAGACGAGAGUACCGUACGAAUAAGCAUCGGCUACAUCCGUGCCAGCAACCGCGGUCAUACGGGGGGUGCAAGCGUAAUCCGGAUUUAUUGGGUUUAAAGGGUGCGUAGGCUGUGAGGUAAGUCAGCGGGGAAAUGCCCCCGCUCAACGGGGUGAAGUGCAAUUGAUACUGGUUGGCUGGAAUGCGGAUGCGGUGGGAAGAAUGUGUGGUGUAGCGGUGAAAUGCGUAGAUAUCAGACAGAACACCGAUUGCGAAGGCAGCUCACGGAUCCGCGAUUGACGCUGAUGCGCGAAAGCGUGGGUAUCAAACAGGAUUAGAUACCCGAGUAGUC